GCCUGCAUGGGGCGUGGCAUCGAAGUCCGCCCCGUUGUGACGCGUGGCUGAGGAGGCACGCAAUUCCAAUUCAGUCUGGUGUCACAGGAUCUUGCUCUCUCCACUGGGCCCAGCCCAGCGGUCCUGCCCUGAGGGAGGACAGUAAGCGCGGUGGCGGAGCUGAAGACUGGAGAAUGGCUCGAGGAAGUGAAUUUAUUGAUAUAAGGAUGACUGAUGGUAGUUACCGUCUGUACGAUGCUGUAUAUGCAGUGGCCCACACCCUCUACAAGAUGCUUCUAUAGCAAGCAGAAAUACAAUGAGUGGUAAAUGGAGAAGCGAUGAUAUUUUCCCAAUGGCAGGUACUGUCUCUUACACUUUUAUCAAGGUAUCAUACUUAAGGCCUUCCAUAAAAUUCAUUUCAUA
This 402-nucleotide long non-coding RNA is filed under the name Cavia porcellus (domestic guinea pig). RNAcentral's name for it is "lncRNA (ENSCPOG00000039727.1)". Lineage: Eukaryota; Metazoa; Chordata; Mammalia; Rodentia; Caviidae. The record is from RNAcentral.